UACGAAGGGUGCAAGCGUUACUCGGAAUUACUGGGCGUAAAGCGUGCGUAGGCGGUUUGUUAAGUCUGAUGUGAAAGCCCCGGGCUCAACCUGGGAAUUGCAUUCGAGACUGAAUAGCUAGGGUACGGUAGAGGGAAGUGGAAUUUCCGGUGUAGCGGUGAAAUGCGUAGAUAUCGGAAGGAACAUCAGUGGCGAAAGCGGCUUCCUGGACCAGCACCGACGUUCAGGCACGAAAGCGUGGGGAGCAAACAGG
RNAcentral lists this ribosomal RNA (253 nucleotides) under uncultured bacterium. Its description in RNAcentral is "partial 16S ribosomal RNA". It matches the Rfam family "Bacterial small subunit ribosomal RNA", at positions 524 to 776 of the family's 1533-position model. The record is from RNAcentral.